Molecule: transfer RNA, 77 nt
Filed under: Prosthecodimorpha hirschii
Lineage: Bacteria; Pseudomonadati; Pseudomonadota; Alphaproteobacteria; Hyphomicrobiales; Ancalomicrobiaceae
Description: Prosthecomicrobium hirschii tRNA-Arg
Source: RNAcentral
CGCCCUGUCGCUCAACAGGGUAGAGCAACGGUGUCCUGAACCGCAGGUCAAGCACUCGGAUCCCUUCCGGGAGACCA